AGUGAACGCUGGCGGUAGGCCUAACACAUGCAAGUCGAACGGCAGCACAGUAAGAGCUUGCUCUUACGGGUGGCGAGUGGCGGACGGGUGAGGAAUACAUCGGAAUCUACUUUUUCGUGGGGGAUAACGUAGGGAAACUUACGCUAAUACCGCAUACGACCUACGGGUGAAAGCAGGGGAUCUUCGGACCUUGCGCGAUUGAAUGAGCCGAUGUCGGAUUAGCUAGUUGGCGGGGUAAAGGCCCACCAAGGCGACGAUCCGUAGCCGGUCUGAGAGGAUGAUCAGCCACACUGGAACUGAGACAAGGUCCAGACUCCUACGGGAGGCAGCAGUGGGGAAUAUUGGACAAUGGGCGCAAGCCUGAUCCAGCCAUACCGCGUGGGUGAAGAAGGCCUUCGGGUUGUAAAGCCCUUUUGUUGGGAAAGAAAAGCAGCAGGUUAAUACCCCGCUGUUCUGACGGUACCCAAAGAAUAAGCACCGGCUAACUUCGUG
This 492-nucleotide ribosomal RNA is filed under the name uncultured bacterium. Its description in RNAcentral is "partial 16S ribosomal RNA". It matches the Rfam family "Bacterial small subunit ribosomal RNA", at positions 29 to 507 of the family's 1533-position model. The record is from RNAcentral.